RNAcentral lists this unclassified non-coding RNA (2183 nucleotides) under Neodiprion lecontei (redheaded pine sawfly). RNAcentral's name for it is "alpha-1,6-mannosyl-glycoprotein 2-beta-N- acetylglucosaminyltransferase, transcript variant X8". Lineage: Eukaryota; Metazoa; Arthropoda; Insecta; Hymenoptera; Diprionidae. The record is from RNAcentral.
UCAGAAUGCGGCGAGGGCGGCGUCGAGAGAGUGGAGCUGCUCUCUCCGUACGUCGGGCGCUGUGUUCCCCAACAAUUUCAAAGUGAACGGUUAAGUGACAGUUUGAGAGGAAUCGACAUGAUUGUCAUCGACGAACCAGACUACAAGCUUAGGUAGCAGUCAUGGAUUCCUUAAGAAUGGAGGAGGGUCAUCCGUUUUCGUUAUUCUCGUCAAGAAACGUCACUUAGGGGUCGCCCCACCAUGAGAGUUUCGGGGGUGGCUGUCAUGGGUGGCGGUCGAAAUGGUCGUGGAACCUUGGUGAGAACCCUGGCCCUCGUCUUCCUGGCAACUCUUCUCUGGCUGCAAUUUCACGUGGCCAGUUUGACAAGUCGUUCCAGUUCGCCGCCGUCAGGAAACGAGAGUCUCCUAAUGCUUGUGCCUCAGGAACUGCACAGGUUUCUGAAGGACAGGCGAAACUCGACCGCCGGAUCCAAUUCGACGGCCGGAAUAUCUGGGAAUCUUACGAUAUCCGAGCUACGUCGACAGGUAGAAAAGGCUAAUCUGGAACAACGCGUUUUCAACGAGGAGGCUUUUGGUCCCCUGGCUUCCGACGCCCCAGUAAUUGUCAUUCAGGUUCACGCCAGACUCACUUACUUGAGGCACUUGAUCGUCUCCCUGGCACAAGCUAAGGGGAUCGAACAAACGCUCCUCAUUUUUAGUCACGACGUAUGGGAUCCGGACAUCAAUUUUCUCGUGCAGAGCGUCGAUUUCUGCAGAGUUAUGCAGAUCUUUUAUCCCUACAGCAUACAGACUCAUCCCCACACAUUUCCUGGCGAGGAUCCCAACGAUUGUCCACGUAACAUUAAGAGGGAAAGUGCUCUGGUGAAGAAAUGCAUAAACGCGGAGCAUCCCGACCUCUACGGACAUUACAGGGAGGCGAAAUUUACCCAAACUAAACACCACUGGUGGUGGAAGGCGAAUCGAGUAUUCGACCAGUUAACCGUAACGAAAAACCACGUUGGGAUGGUUUUGUUCCUUGAGGAGGAUCACUACGUCGCCGAAGACUUUUUGCACGUACUUAGACUGAUGGAACGUACAUGUAAGCACAGCUGUGAACGUUGCAACAUUUUGUCGCUGGGAACGUACCUUAAAACUUACAACUAUUACGCGGACAACAAAAAGUUUCUCGGUGUCAAUGGUGUACUGCAAAAGGAAAUGCUUCGCGGAUUAAAGAGACACAAUGGAAUCAUUCAGGGUGGCUUUUCUACCUAUCAAGGUGCUCAAUUGGUACAAGCUGCUGCCCCUGCUUGGGCAUUCCAGCUUUUGCCCAACCUCUACAACCAUUAUCAGAAGGCAGAGGUAACACCGUGGAUUUCUAGUAAACAUAAUAUGGGUAUGGCGUUCAAUCGUAUUACUUGGAACAAACUGAGAGACUGUGCUUCCAAAUUCUGCUCUUACGACGACUAUAACUGGGACUGGAGCCUUCAGCAUAUCGCUCAAGGAUGCAUCCCAUCAAGUCAAGGCUCCGGUGGCUUAUCUCACAUCCAAUCUGGCCUAAUCGCCAUGGUGAUGAAAGCACCUAGAAUUUUUCACAUCGGAGAAUGGAAUAGCGGAAGUGAUUAAAACUCUGAACACCGUAUAUGCUUCGUUUGUGAUGAAUCGAUCCAUCAGCUAACACAGUUUUGUAAGAAAAUUCUGGUUCAAAACGAGUCUGCUAGUACAAAGGACAUAUUACCCGUCAUGCAAACUGUGUAGAAUGUCGAAGGAUCUGCAUCCCAGGUGACGGUUGGUUGGUCUUUCACCAGCGUUGGCGUAAGAACUUUCCCAAUGUCAACGGACAAAUUUCCAGGGUAUGAUACCUUGGCAAUCGAGGCUGGUACCUUGUCGAUUACGUCCGGCACAACGCCGUGCUGUUUCAGUGCUUCGGUCAUUGUUGAAGAUAGAACUCUAGGCGUGUAGCUGAAGGUUCUCUUGGCUAGCAGUGAAGCUGAAAUGAUUCAAGUCAUUACGUUGAUACUGAUACAGCUUACAGAUAACGUGUAUAAUCAUAGAUAUAAGAGAAAUGGACAAGAUUUUGUAGUGCUGAUAAAAUGAAUGGCGCACUAGCAAAGCUGUGAUAACCCUACAUCACUUUCCCAGUACACACGCAGAGCUACCGAUCAGAUCACCCAGACAUAAUCUGAAUACACUGUUCAUUAAGCUUG